UUGGAGGGCAAGUCUGGUGCCAGCAGCCGCGGUAAUUCCAGCUCCAAUAGCGUAUAUUAAAGUUGUUGCAGUUAAAAAGCUCGUAGUUGAACUUCGGGAUCAAUUGAUUGGCCAUGCCAUUGGUAUGUACUGGUCAUAUUGGUUCUCACCUUCUAAGGAACCAUAAUGUCAUUAAUUUGAUGUUUUGGGGAAUUAGGACUGUUACCUUGAAAAAAUUAGAGUGUUUAAAGCAGGCUCACGCUUGAAUACAUUAGCAUGGAAUAACGAAAUAGGACGUUUGAUUCUAUUUUGUUGGUUUCUAGGAUCGACGUAAUGAUUAAUAGGGAUAGUUGGGGGCAUUAGUAUUCAAUUGUCAGAGGUGAAAUUCUUGGAUUUAUUGAAGACUAACUACUGCGAAAGCAUUUGCCAAGGAUGUUUUCAUUAAUCAAGAACGAAAGUUAGGGGAUCGAAGACGAUCAGAUACCGUCGUAGUCUUAACCAUAAACUAUGCCGACUAGGGAUCGGAUGAUGUUAAUUUUUUAAUGACUCAUUCGGCGCCUUACGGGAAAC
RNAcentral lists this ribosomal RNA (549 nucleotides) under uncultured Glomus. Its description in RNAcentral is "SSU rRNA". It matches the Rfam family "Eukaryotic small subunit ribosomal RNA", at positions 548 to 1098 of the family's 1831-position model. Lineage: Eukaryota; Fungi; Glomeromycota; Glomeromycetes; Glomerales; Glomeraceae. The record is from RNAcentral.